AAAUAUUACCUUAUGAUUCCGUCACAUUUUAGAAAAUAUGAUAGUUAUAAUACUACUAUGUAUUACAAAUGCACCAGGCCAUCAUGUGCAGGGAAAUGGAUAUUUAAAAAUAAUACCUUCCAAAAAUCUAAACAGUGUACAGCUCCUGCCUGCUUAGAAAUAACACAAGUUAAAUCUAUAGCCACACAAACUGAUCCCAUAAAUGUAGAUAGUAUAUCAGUAGCCACUCAAA
This is a long non-coding RNA of Gordionus sp. m RMFG-2023, 232 nucleotides long. RefSeq lists it as uncharacterized. NCBI's taxonomy places the organism in Eukaryota, Metazoa, Nematomorpha, Gordioida, Chordodea, Parachordodidae. The record is from RefSeq and is a predicted model, not a curated record. The transcript has 3 exons.